Molecule: unclassified non-coding RNA, 90 nt
Filed under: Pseudomonas azotoformans
Lineage: Bacteria; Pseudomonadati; Pseudomonadota; Gammaproteobacteria; Pseudomonadales; Pseudomonadaceae
Source: RNAcentral
UGUGGGAGCGGGCUUGCUCGCGAAAGCUUUUUGUCAGUUGAUGCAUCUGGUGACUGACACACCGCAUUCGCGAGCAAGCCCGCUCCCACA